Molecule: RNA transcript, 2670 nt
Organism: Lycium barbarum (goji berry)
Lineage: Eukaryota; Viridiplantae; Streptophyta; Magnoliopsida; Solanales; Solanaceae
Gene name: probable methyltransferase PMT2
Exons: 8
Source: RefSeq, a predicted model, not a curated record
UAAAGCCGUAGUCUAGUAAAAACCUUGGACUUAAAUAACAAGCAACUCCCUGUUCAUUGAAAACAUCGGAUUUGUCUUCGUAACUAGUGUCCAACACGUUUCUCACGAACUAAAAUCCUGUCCCUUGUCUCCUUUCUUUUUCUUCAGAACCAAAUACUCCAACAUCCACUUAUUACUGUAAUAUUCGAUCAAAUACUUACUUUCUACUGUUUUACUACAUCGUCAUUAAUCCAACAAAUGCUUUGAUCCUAGUGAAACCGCAAGAUUCCUGUUUUCUGAGAUCCGUCAAUCAUGGCAAUAAAAGGAAAUCCAGGAGAUAACAGAAGCAGAGGCCCUGUGUCAAUAUUUGUUGUAGUUGGUAUUUGUUGUUUUUUCUAUCUUAUUGGAGUAUGGCAAAGAAGUGGUUUCGGGAAGGGAGAUAGCAUAGCUCAGCAGAUAACAAAGAAGGCAGAGGACUGCAGCAUCCUCUCCAAUCUAGAAUAUGAAACUCAUCAUGGUGAUCAAAGCGGUAUGGUUGAUGAUCCCAAGCUGGAAGUCAAGCAUUUUGAACCUUGUGAUGAGCAAUAUGUUGAUUAUACACCGUGUCAUGAUCAAAUGCGAGCAAUGACAUUUCCUAGAGAAAAUAUGAACUAUAGGGAGAGACAUUGUCCUCCAGAGGAAGAGAAGCUGCGUUGUCUUAUUCCAGCCCCAAAAGGUUAUAUAACUCCUUUUCCAUGGCCAAAGAGUCGUGACUAUGUACCUUUUGCAAAUGCGCCACAUAAAAGUUUAACAGUUGAGAAGGCAGUGCAAAACUGGGUCCAAUAUGAAGGUGAUUUACUUAGAUUUCCAGGUGGCGGAACUCAGUUCCCACGUGGGGCAGAUGCGUAUAUUGACCAGCUUGCUUCUGUGAUCCCAAUGGACAAUGGUACAGUUCGAACUGCAUUGGAUACCGGAUGUGGGGUUGCUAGUUGGGGUGCAUACCUUUUCAAGAAGAACGUUAUAGCCAUGUCAUUCGCACCAAGAGACUCACAUGAAGCUCAAGUCCAAUUUGCUUUGGAAAGAGGCGUACCAGCAGUUAUUGGUGUACUUGGAACCAUAAAAUUGCCAUUUCCAUCAAGGGCGUUUGAUAUGGCUCAUUGUUCACGUUGUUUGAUUCAAUGGGCUGCAAAUGGUGGACUGCAUAUGAUGGAAGUGGAUCGAGUUCUAAGACCAGGAGGGUAUUGGAUACUUUCAGGUCCUCCCAUCAACUGGCGGACUAAUAAUCAAGCUUGGCAACGACCUAAAGAGGAGCUGGAGGAGGAACAAAGAAUGAUUGAAGAUAUAGCUGAACUUCUCUGCUGGGAAAAGAAGUAUGAGAAAGGUGAGAUAGCUAUAUGGAGAAAACGAGUAAACUAUGAGUACUGCAGUGAACGAGAUUCUCGUGUAAAUCUAUGUGACCACUCGAAUUCAGAAAAUGUCUGGUAUAAGAAGAUGGAGGCAUGUGUAACUCUGUAUCCUGAAAUAACCAAUUCGGACGAAGUUGCUGGUGGAGAGCUCAUGCCAUUUCCGGAGAGACUUAAUGCUAUUUCUCCAAGAAUAGCAAGUGGAUCUCUUCCUGGAGUCUCUGUUGAAUCAUUCCAGGAGGACAACAAGUUGUGGAAGAAGCAUGUGAAAGCUUAUAAGAGAGUUAACAAGCUCCUUGCCACUAGGAGGUAUCACAAUAUACUAGAUAUGAAUGCUGGCCUUGGAAGUUUUGCUGCAGCACUAGAAUCAUCUAAGCUAUGGGUCAUGAAUGUUAUGCCAACUAUAGCUGAAAGGGACACUCUUGGUGUAAUAUAUGAUCGAGGCCUGAUUGGCAUAUACCAUGACUGGUGUGAAGCGUUCUCUACCUACCCUCGGGCAUUUGACCUUAUUCAUGCAAAUGGGAUCUUCAGCUUAUAUAAGGACAAAUGUGAUGCUGAAGGCAUUCUACUAGAGAUGGACAGGAUUCUUAGACCAGAAGGCACAGUUAUAUUCCGAGAUCAUGCAGAUAUUCUUGGCCAAGUAAAAAGAAUUGCAGCUGGUAUGAGGUGGAAAACAAAAAUGGUGGAUCAUGAGGAUGGUCCUCUUAUCCCGGAAAAAGUAUUGUUUGCUGUCAAAAGAUACUGGGUUGUUGGAGAUAACAACUCAACCGUCUUACGGUGAAUGGACAAGGCAGCUUAUUUCGCAGACAGUUAGCAAUCUGGUUCUUGGCCAGAGUUAGUAUUACUCUUUUCCUGCGGGAGGUCAGAGUUGACAACAACAAGCAGCGAUCUCUGCUAUUUGUCAUGUGAAACAGUUUAUUACAGAACUAGACGUGGGCCAAAACACAGCGUCUAGGAAAACACAGAAAUCAGCUGAUUACAAAAUGGAGGUUUAUCUGAAGAUGGAUUUAGUAAAUGUAAUCUCACCCUGGCAGGGUUACUGUCAUUGUUGAAACAGUUGAAAGCCAAAUGAUUUUCUGAAUAAGAUGUUACUGAAUUCUGGUAGCUUUUCAAGUCUGAGUAUUUUACUAACUGAAAGAAGUGGAACUCAAGAAAUAGCUCUAAAUAUGCAACCAUCUCUCCAUUUUAUGUUGCUGUACUUGCCAAGUACUACUUGGUAAUCCAACUAGUUAUGUACCCGACCAGAUUUCCACAAAUCAGUCUGUAAAAUUGAAAAGCAUCAAAAUUCAUUAUGGUGUGGAUCGUGUUA